This 998-nucleotide long non-coding RNA is filed under the name Zostera marina. RNAcentral's name for it is "long non-coding RNA (ZMAR_LNC004618)". Lineage: Eukaryota; Viridiplantae; Streptophyta; Magnoliopsida; Alismatales; Zosteraceae. The record is from RNAcentral.
GAAUACUCGAUAAAUGAAGACGAGCUUGAUCCGAGUGAGGAGUCGCUUGAGCCAAGAAAUCCAGCGCCGUCAACAACCAUGAUACUAAAAAAUCGGUGGCAGUCUUCAAACCGAAUACGUGAUUCGUGUUGACAAUGGCAGCCACCGAGGUUCAUUGUUUUUAACAUCCUUAAAUUCAUUGUUUUAAACUCACCUCCAUUGUUAAUUUAUAAUGAUGAGACCCAAUAUUAAAUGACGAAGGAAGGUAGUUAUCCGAUGACCGCUGCCCAGUUUCUGCCGUCGACGUGGUGUUUGCGGUUAAAAUUUAGUGUUCUGCGUUAUGUGACACAGUGGCAGGCAGGCCCAAGUAAUGGACAAGACUACGAUGACGAUAAAAGAAAGGGCAAUCGCGAGGAGUAAAAACCGAGGGGUUUCUCUCUGUACGUAGUCUGUAGCUUCUCUUCUCUCUCAAUCAAUUAUCCAGAGACCACAGCUAGCUAUGUGACACAGUGUCCAGUGCUGUGAAGAAGCCCGUGUUUAAAGCUUGGUCUCACUCUCUGGACUCUGGCUUGUUUGACUGCAGAGGAACCCACUGCGCGCACUGUUUUCCCACAGUGAUUGUGUCUGGUGCAACUCUUGACAGUGACAGUCUGAUACAGUGAUGGACAAAGACAUUGCCGGACUCAUGAGUAAUGACCGAUGCUUAAUGUUCAUCCGGAUCCAUUCAUUCUUUUGAUUGCGUUUGUAAUAUUACAAUCUUGCCACAACAUUGGAUUUUGCAAUUUUAAUCAAUUAAUCAAUCCGUCUUUAUUCGUCUAUCUGUUCCUCCGUCGAUCGUUGAUGUUGAAGAAAAAGAGAGAACGCAUGCAUUCAGCAUUCGACAAGACAGGACACAGACAGGCAGACAUAAGGGUUGUCACUUGUCACUUCUCCGCUAGACCUUCAUUCUUUUCUUUCCCAACAAAAAAUAUUACAAAAUUUCAUACUAAUCAUCUGCGUGGAGACGACGGACUCUGUUC